AAAAGAUGAGGGUAUUGGCUGCGCAUAUCCCGCUCGGUCUCCCAAGUCGCCUCCUUGGCUGGCUGACCCCGCCACUGCACCUUUACUGAAGCUAUAUCCUUUGACCUGAGCUUUCGAACAUGUCCAUCCAAUAUUGCCACUAGCUCCUCAACAUAGGAGAAUUCAUUGUCCAACUGGACUGAAGUGAACUCCAACACAUGAGACGUGUCACCAUGAUACCUCUAAAGCGAGCUCAUAAGCAACAUUUCCAACCUGCCUCAAAAUCUCAAAUGGACCAAUGUACCUCGGGCUCAACUUUCCUUUCUUUCCAAGCCUCAUAACACCUUUCAUAGGCGAGACCCGAAGCAAAACCCGCUCACCAA
RNAcentral lists this long non-coding RNA (362 nucleotides) under Nicotiana benthamiana. Its description in RNAcentral is "long non-coding RNA (NBEN_LNC018186)". Lineage: Eukaryota; Viridiplantae; Streptophyta; Magnoliopsida; Solanales; Solanaceae. The record is from RNAcentral.